This 497-nucleotide ribosomal RNA is filed under the name uncultured bacterium. RNAcentral describes it as "partial 16S ribosomal RNA". It matches the Rfam family "Bacterial small subunit ribosomal RNA", at positions 28 to 507 of the family's 1533-position model. The record is from RNAcentral.
GAUGAACGCUGGCGGCGUGCCUAAUACAUGCAAGUCGAGCGAACGGACGAGAAGCUUGCUUUUCUGAUGUUAGCGGCGGACGGGUGAGUAACACGUGGAUAACCUACCUAUAAGACUGGGAUAACUUCGGGAAACCGGAGCUAAUACCGGAUAAUAUUUUGAACCGCAUGGUUCAAAAGUGAAAGACGGUCUUGCUGCCACUUAUAGAUGGAUCCGCGCUGCAUUAGCUAGUUGGUAAGGUAACGGCUUACCAAGGCAACGAUGCAUAGCCGACCUGAGAGGGUGAUCGGCCACACUGGAACUGAGACACGGUCCAGACUCCUGCGGGAGGCAGCAGUAGGGAAUCUUCCGCAAUGGGCGAAGGCCUGACGGAGCAACGCCGCGUGAGUGAUGAAGGUCUUCGGAUCGUAAAACUCUGUUAUUAGGGAAGAACAUAUGUGUAAGUAACUGUGCACAUCUUGACGGUACCUAAUCAGAAAGCCACGGCUAACUACGUG